AAACUUUCAACAACGGAUCUCUUGGCUCUGGCAUCGAUGAAGAACGCAGCGAAAUGCGAUAAGUAAUGUGAAUUGCAGAAUUUAGUGAAUCAUCAAAUCUUUGAACGCACAUUGCGCCCCUUGGUAUUCCGAGGGGCAUGCCUGUUCGAGCGUC
This 154-nucleotide ribosomal RNA is filed under the name Erysiphe galii. RNAcentral describes it as "5.8S rRNA". It matches the Rfam family "5.8S ribosomal RNA". Rfam says of the family: 5.8S ribosomal RNA (5.8S rRNA) is a component of the large subunit of the eukaryotic ribosome. The record is from RNAcentral. Lineage: Eukaryota; Fungi; Ascomycota; Leotiomycetes; Helotiales; Erysiphaceae.